This 301-nucleotide ribosomal RNA is filed under the name uncultured bacterium. Its description in RNAcentral is "partial 16S ribosomal RNA". It matches the Rfam family "Bacterial small subunit ribosomal RNA", at positions 509 to 807 of the family's 1533-position model. The record is from RNAcentral.
CAGCAGCCGCGGUAAUACGAAGGGGGCUAGCGUUGCUCGGAAUCACUGGGCGUAAAGGGUGCGUAAGCGGGUCUUUAAGUCAGGGGUGAAAUCCCGAGGCUCAACCUCGGAACUGCCUUUGAUACUGGGGAUCUUGAGUCCGGAAGAGGUGAGUGGAACUGCGAGUGUAGAGGUGAAAUUCGUAGAUAUUCGCAAGAACACCAGUGGCGAAGGCGGCUCACUGGUCCGGAACUGACGCUGAGGCACGACAGCGUGGGGAGCAAACAGGAUUAGAUACCCGUGUAGUCCCUGUCUCUUAUAC